CGCCUUCAGAUUCAAUAUUGGAGGUCUGGUCUGCCCAGUGUAAUUAAUUAACGGCCGCGGUAUUCUGACUGUGCAAAGGUAGCAUAAUCACUUGCCCUUUAAAUGGGGGAAUGUAUGAAUGAUUAGACGAGGUUUUUACUGUCUCUUCCUUAUAAAUUGAGAUUACAAUACUUGUGAAAAUGCGGGUAAGGUAAUAAAGGACGAGAAGACCCUGUUGAGCUUUUAAGCUAAACUAUAGUACAGGUUAAGUUAAGUAAUAAUUUGCAAUUAAAACGAGUAAUUUUUUGUAGGCUUUUUGGCUGGGGUGGCAAGCAAAGAUAUUAAGCUUUGUUGUAGUAUACAUUUUGUAUUUCUAGAUAAUAUGUAUCUAUAAAUAACUAAAUUGAUCCGUUAAAAUAGAACGAUUAAAAGAAUAAGUUACCACAGGGAUAACAGCGUAAUUCUUUUUGAGAGCUCGAAUUGACAAAGGAGUUUGCGACCUCGAUGUUGGAUCAAGAUUCCUAGCGGUGUAGCAGCUGUUACGGGUUUGCCUGUUCGGCGAUUAAUAUCU
This 550-nucleotide ribosomal RNA is filed under the name Branchiostoma japonicum (Japanese lancelet). Its description in RNAcentral is "partial 16S ribosomal RNA". It matches the Rfam family "Bacterial large subunit ribosomal RNA", at positions 1829 to 2596 of the family's 2925-position model. The record is from RNAcentral. Lineage: Eukaryota; Metazoa; Chordata; Leptocardii; Amphioxiformes; Branchiostomatidae.